Molecule: ribosomal RNA, 254 nt
Filed under: uncultured bacterium
Lineage: Bacteria
Description: partial 16S ribosomal RNA
Rfam family: Bacterial small subunit ribosomal RNA
Source: RNAcentral
AACGUAGGAGACAAACGUUAUCCGGAGUUACUGGGCGUAAAGGGCGUGUAGGCGGUUCGUUAAGUCUGGCGUGAAAGCUCUCGGCUAAACCGGGAGAGGUCGUUGGAUACUGGCAAACUAGAGGACGGUAGAGGCGUGUGGAAUUCCGGGUGUAGUGGUGAAAUGCGUAGAGAUCCGGAGGAACACCAGUGGCGAAGGCGACACGCUGGGCCGUACCUGACGCUAAAGCGCGACAGCAUGGGGAGCAAACGGGG